This 396-nucleotide long non-coding RNA is filed under the name Homo sapiens (human). Its description in RNAcentral is "non-protein coding lnc-DBX1-4:1". The record is from RNAcentral. Lineage: Eukaryota; Metazoa; Chordata; Mammalia; Primates; Hominidae.
UGCACUAGUCUUGCCUGUCCUGAUCUUCCUGGGGUGCGCGCACUCCUUCAGCGUGUCCUGGUUUUAAAAGACUAACCCAUCCGGAUGGGCCUGAACUCAAGAAGCAACUAUUCUAAGCUAGACUGAGCCUUGGCGUCUCCGCAGCCUGGGAAGCUCGGAUAGAGCUCUUUGAAGAAGGCGGCUGCAAGCCAGUCUCCGAACCCCAGGGGACUUUUGGGCAAGGGAGCCGGUGGAAGCAGAAGGAAGAAGAUGCGCUGAGAGUCCUCACAACUGCGUCUCCGGAGGCAGAACGAAGUGGGGACUUCAGACAAUCAAGCGUCAUCCUUGCUCCCCCCUCCCCACACGGAACCCUGCGAUUAUGGCAAGAGAAAACUGGUUUGAGCUUGAGAAAAUUUC